RNAcentral lists this ribosomal RNA (497 nucleotides) under uncultured Glomeromycotina. RNAcentral describes it as "partial small subunit ribosomal RNA". It matches the Rfam family "Eukaryotic small subunit ribosomal RNA", at positions 591 to 1092 of the family's 1831-position model. Lineage: Eukaryota; Fungi; Glomeromycota. The record is from RNAcentral.
CCAAUAGCGUAUAUUAAAGUUGUUGCAGUUAAAAAGCUCGUAGUUGAAUUUCGGGAUCAGUACGCCGGUCGUGCCUCGGUAUGUACUGGUGUUACUGGUUCCUACCUUCUGACGAACCGUCAUGUCAUUAAUUUGGUGUGGCGGGAACUCAGGACUGUUACUUUGAAAAAAUUCGGGUGUUUAAAGCAGGCUCGCGCUUGAAUCAAUUAGCAUGGAAUAAUGAAAUAGGACGUUCGAUCCUAUUUUGUUGGUUUCUAGGAUUGACGUAAUGAUUAAUAGGGAUAGUUGGGGGCAUUAGUAUUCAAUUGUCAGAGGUGAAAUUCUUGGAUUUAUUGAAGACUAACUACUGCGAAAGCAUUUGCCAAGGAUGUUUUCAUUAAUCAGGAACGAAAGUUAGGGGAUCGAAGACGAUCAGAUACCGUCGUAGUCUUAACCAUAAACUAUGCCAACUAGGGAUCGGAUGAUGUUAUUUUUAAUGACUCAUUCGGCGCCUUACG